RNAcentral lists this ribosomal RNA (231 nucleotides) under uncultured bacterium. RNAcentral's name for it is "partial 16S ribosomal RNA". It matches the Rfam family "Bacterial small subunit ribosomal RNA", at positions 104 to 334 of the family's 1533-position model. The record is from RNAcentral.
CGGGGUGAGUAACGCGUGGGUAACCUGCUUAUACAGGGGAGUAACAGUUGGAAACGGCUGCUAAUACCGCAUAAGCGCACGGCAUCGCAUGAUGCAGUGUGAAAAACUCCGGUGGUAUAAGAUGGACCCGCGUUGGAUUAGCUAGUUGGUGAGGUAACGGCCCACCAAGGCGACGAUCCAUAGCCGACCUGAGAGGGUGACCGGCCACAUUGGGACUGAGACACGGCCCAA